UACGUAGGGUCCAAGCGUUGUCCGGAAUUAUUGGGCGUAAAGAGCUCGUAGGCGGUUUGUCGCGUCUGCUGUGAAAUCCCGAGGCUCAACCUCGGGCCUGCAGUGGGUACGGGCAGACUGGAGUGCGGUAGGGGAGAAUGGAAUUCCUGGUGUAGCGGUGGAAUGCGCAGAUAUCAGGAGGAACACCGAUGGCGAAGGCAGGUCACUGGGCCGCAACUGACGCUGAGGAGCGAAAGCAUGGGGAGCGAACAGG
This 253-nucleotide ribosomal RNA is filed under the name uncultured bacterium. RNAcentral's name for it is "partial 16S ribosomal RNA". It matches the Rfam family "Bacterial small subunit ribosomal RNA", at positions 524 to 776 of the family's 1533-position model. The record is from RNAcentral.